ACUGACAUUAGAUACCCGGGUAGUCCCAGCCGUAAACUAUGCGCGUUAGGUGUAUCGGUGACCACGAGUUACCGAGGUGCCGAAGGGAAACCGUGAAACGUGCCGCCUGGGAAGUACGGUCGCAAGGCUGAAACUUAAAGGAAUUGGCGGGGAGCACCACAACAGGUGGAGCCUGCGGUUUAAUUGGACUCAACGCCGGGAAGCUCACCGGAUAGGACAGCAGAAUGAUUGCCGGGCUGAAGACCCUGCAUGACUAGCUG
This 260-nucleotide ribosomal RNA is filed under the name uncultured archaeon. RNAcentral's name for it is "partial 16S ribosomal RNA". It matches the Rfam family "Archaeal small subunit ribosomal RNA", at positions 723 to 982 of the family's 1478-position model. The record is from RNAcentral.